RNAcentral lists this ribosomal RNA (479 nucleotides) under Synchytrium endobioticum. Its description in RNAcentral is "eukaryotic LSU rRNA". It matches the Rfam family "Eukaryotic large subunit ribosomal RNA", at positions 2921 to 3401 of the family's 3401-position model. The record is from RNAcentral. Lineage: Eukaryota; Fungi; Chytridiomycota; Chytridiomycetes; Synchytriales; Synchytriaceae.
GCGUCGGAUUGUUCACCCGCCAACAGGGAACGUGAGCUGGGUUUAGANNNNNNGAGACAGGUUAGUUUUACCCUACUGACAAAGUAGUUGUCGCAAUAGUAAUUCAACUUAGUACGAGAGGAACCGUUGAUUCGCAUAAUUGGUAUUUACGGUUGGCUGAAAAGCCAGUGCCGUGAAGCUACCAUGCGUUGGAUUAUGGCUGAACGCCUCUAAGUCAGAAUCCAGGCUAGAACGCGACGAUGUAUUUCCUUCUCCAUGUGUUAGCUGAAUUAAGAAUAGACUUUUGUGUCCAGAAUCAAAUUUGAGAGUUACCCAUGCGUUUGGUGAAGAUCCCAGCGUAUGCACUCUGAAUAAUAAAAUCAAUAUUGGAGAGGAUAAAUCUCUUGCAGACGACUUGAAUUUAGAACUCGGUAUUGUAAGCAGUAGAGUAGCCAUGUUGCUACGAUCUGCUGAGAUUAAGCCGUUGUUCCAAGAUUUGU